Molecule: ribosomal RNA, 554 nt
Filed under: Pseudomonas veronii
Lineage: Bacteria; Pseudomonadati; Pseudomonadota; Gammaproteobacteria; Pseudomonadales; Pseudomonadaceae
Description: bacterial SSU rRNA
Rfam family: Bacterial small subunit ribosomal RNA
Source: RNAcentral
GGGUGAGUAAUGCCUAGGAAUCUGCCUGGUAGUGGGGGAUAACGUUCGGAAACGGACGCUAAUACCGCAUACGUCCUACGGGAGAAAGCAGGGGACCUUCGGGCCUUGCGCUAUCAGAUGAGCCUAGGUCGGAUUAGCUAGUUGGUGAGGUAAUGGCUCACCAAGGCGACGAUCCGUAACUGGUCUGAGAGGAUGAUCAGUCACACUGGAACUGAGACACGGUCCAGACUCCUACGGGAGGCAGCAGUGGGGAAUAUUGGACAAUGGGCGAAAGCCUGAUCCAGCCAUGCCGCGUGUGUGAAGAAGGUCUUCGGAUUGUAAAGCACUUUAAGUUGGGAGGAAGGGCAGUUACCUAAUACGUGAUUGUUUUGACGUUACCGACAGAAUAAGCACCGGCUAACUCUGUGCCAGCAGCCGCGGUAAUACAGAGGGUGCAAGCGUUAAUCGGAAUUACUGGGCGUAAAGCGCGCGUAGGUGGUUUGUUAAGUUGGAUGUGAAAUCCCCGGGCUCAACCUGGGAACUGCAUUCAAAACUGACUGACUAGAGUAUGGUAG